This 16-nucleotide ribosomal RNA is filed under the name Metrosideros nervulosa. Its description in RNAcentral is "partial 26S ribosomal RNA". Lineage: Eukaryota; Viridiplantae; Streptophyta; Magnoliopsida; Myrtales; Myrtaceae. The record is from RNAcentral.
GCGACCCCAGGUCAAG